Molecule: microRNA precursor, 62 nt
Filed under: Ascaris suum (pig roundworm)
Lineage: Eukaryota; Metazoa; Nematoda; Chromadorea; Rhabditida; Ascarididae
Description: Asu-Mir-54-o2_pre stem-loop
Source: RNAcentral
CGGUUAUGGUAUUGCGCUGGUAUGUUGAUUCUGUGUUCAUACCCGUAAUUGCCAUGACUGUU